CAUGACCCUAGGUCAGGCAAGAUUACUCUUUGAGUUUAAACAUAUCAAUAAGUAAAGGAAAAGAAACUUACAAGGAUUCCCCUAGUAUUGAUGAGCGAAUUGGGAAAAGGCUAACUUGAUAAUCGGGCACCUUUGAUGUCCAAAUUGUAGUCUGAAGAAGCAUCCUCAAUGGUAGACUGGGCCCAAGUCCACUAGAAAGAGGUAUCGAAAAGGGUGAAAGCCCCGUUAUGCCUAGACCCUAUCACACCAUGAGGCGCUAUCUACGAGUUAAGUUGUUUAGGAAUGUAGCCCUAAUCAGGUAAUAAAUUCUAUCCAAGGCUGAAUACAAGGAAGAGACCAAUAACGAACAAGUAUCGUGAAGGAAAGAUGAAAAGGACUUUAAAAAAAUAGUCAAAAAGUGCAUGAAAUUAUCAGUAGAGAAGUAGAUAGGGGCUAGGGAUGUGCCUCAGUUGGAUGUGGAAUGGCGAGAGCUGGUCCACCAAUCGACUUGAGGCAUGGAUCGAUGUGGAUCAUGGCAAUGGCUAAAGCUCGAGCUUUUUAUAUGCCUAUAGAGACAUUGUUGCCACUAUUGUGGAAUGCAACACAUGCCAUCUAGAUGUGUGUCAGCCUAUAUGUGCUCUUGGGUCAACCUAUAGGCUCCCCAUCUGGCCCAUCUUGAAACAUGAACCAAGGAGUCUAACAUGUGUACAAGUUAAUGAGCUAGAAAACCCAUAAGGCGUAAGGAAACUAAUUGGUAAGAUCCCUCGCAAGUUCACUACCGACCAACCUUGAUCUUUUAAACUGCGGCUGAGUGAGCCCAAGGUAGUGGAAACUCUGGUGGAGGCUUGUAGCAAUACUAACAUGCAAAUCAUUCAUUUGACUUGGGUAUAGGGUGAAAAACUAAUUGAAAUAUCUAGUAGCUAGCUCCCUCUAAAGUUUCUCUUAGGAUAGCUAGAGCCCUUAGCAAGUUCUAUCAAGUAAAGCCAAUAAUUAGAGGCAUCGGAGGUGCAACACCCUUGACCUAUUCUCAAACUUUAAAUAGGUAAGAGGGUGAGGCUACUUCAUGGAACCGCUCCAUAGAAUCGUAAGCUCCAAGUGGGCCAUUUUGUUAAGUAGAACUGGCAAUGUAGGAUGAACUAGAUGCUAGGUUACGAUGCCUAACUGUAAGCUAACCUAGAACCCACAAAGGGUGUUAGUCAAUUAAGACAAUAAGACAGUGGUAAUAAAAGCCAAAAUCCACUAAAGAGUGUAUAAUAACUCACCUACCAAAUCAACUAGCCCUAAAAAUGGAUGGUGCUUAAGCACAUGACCUAUAUAUGGCUGUUAGGGCAAGGGCCAGGCCCUAAUGAAUAGCAAGGUAUGGGGGCACUGCAAAACCCAAAGCAUGAAUAGAGCGACCAUUAGUAUAGAUCUUGGUAGUAGUAGCAAAUAUUCAAAUAAGAACUUUGAAGGCUGAAGAAGGGAAAGGUUCCAUAUGAAUGGUACUUACACAUAGGUUAGUUGAUCUUAAAAGAUGGGGAAAGGUCAUCUGAUAACACGUUCAGCACAUGCUUCAAAAGGGAAUCAAGCUAAAAUUCCUAAACCAAGAUGCGGUGACUAAUGGCAACGUUAAGGAGUUUGAAGAUGUUGGUAGGGGUUUCAGGAAAAGUUAUCUUUUUUAUUUAAUGGCCUACCUACCCUAGAAAUGGCUUAACCAAAGGUAGGGUCCAACAACCAAAAGAGCACUACACAUUGCAUGGUGUCUAAUGUGCCCUUAGCAACAUUUGAAAAUCCAGAGGACCAACUACCAUCCAUGCCCAGUCAUACUUAUAACUGCAUCAGGUCUCUAAGGUGAACAACCUCUGGUCGAUGACAUAAUAUAGGUAAAGGAUAUCGAUAAAAUGGAUUUGUAACCUUGGGAAAAAGGUUGGCUCUGAAGGCUAGGCAUGGGGGUCCCAAUCUUAAACCCAUCAGUUACUAGUGCAUUACUCGAGCUGCUUUUAUAAUGAGAAUGGGUCAUCACAUGUCGGCUAGGGGAUGGACUAGGAAUGGCUCCCUUAAGGAUCUUUCCUAGAUGAUGAAUACUCGACUCAGAACUAUUAUGAACAAGGGGAAUCCAACUAUUUAAUUAAAACAAAGUAUUGCAAUGGUCCCUACGGAUGCUCACUCAAUGUGAUUUUUGCCUAGUGCUCUAAAUGUUAAAGUGAAAAAAUUCAACCCAGCGCAGGUAAAUAGCGGGAGUAACUAUAACUCUCUUAGGGUAACCAAAUGCCUCAUCAUCUAAUUAGUGACGUGCAUAAAUGGAUUAAUGAGAUUCCCACUAUCCCUAUCUACUAUCCAAUAAAACCACAACCAAGGGAAUGAGUUUGGCAGAGUCCAACUUUGUGAAAUGACUUGAGAGGUAUAGGAUAAGUGGGAGCCCUUGGGCAAAAUUGAAAUAUCACAACUUUUAACAUUAUUUUACUUAUUCCAUGAAUUAGAGGUAGGGCAUGACCCCUUCUUUUGGAACCAAAACUACCCUUGGUCGAUCAAUCCAAGCAGAAGACCUUGUUAGGUAGAGAGUUUGGCUAAGAUGGCACAUUUGUUAAAAGAUAAUGCAAGUGUCUUAAGAUGAGCUCAACAAGAAUAGAAAUCUUAUGUGGAACAAAAGGGUAAAAGCUCAUUUGAUUCUAUUUUCCAGUACAAAUAUGAAUCAUGAAAGUGUGGCCUAUCGAGCCUUUAGACCUUUAAAAUUUAAAGCUAGAGGUGUUAGAAAAGUUACCAGAGGGAUAAUUGGCUUAUGAUAACCAAGCAUUCAUAGCGACAUUGCUUUUUGAUUCUUUGAUGUUGGCUCUUCCUAUCAUUGUGAAGCAGAAUUCACCAAGUGUUAGAUUGUUCACCCACCACUAAAAAACACGAGCUAGUUUAGACUACCAUGAGACAGGUUAGUUUUACCCUACUGAUGGUAGCGUCACACCUAGUAUGAGAGGAACCGUUGAUUCGCACAAUUGGUCAUCAUGUUUGGUUGAAAAGUUAGUAGUGUGAAGCUACCAUGUAUUAGAUUAUGACUGAACACCUCAAAGUUAGAAUCCAGGCUAGAAAUAAUGCACACACCCAUUGUCCAAUUGCCAACCUUAGUAGGGGCCCAUGGCCCUCAAUGGCACAUGUCGUAGGUGUAGCCCUUACGGUGGACAAGCCACACAGGCCUCCUUAAGGCUUAUUCCCAUAGAGUGGUGGGUAAAAUCCUUUAUAGAUGGCUUAAAUAUGUGACAAUGUAUUAUAAGUGGUAGAGUGGCCUUGUUACGAUGAUCCACUAAGAUUCAGCCCUUCAUCACUUCGAUUCAU
RNAcentral lists this ribosomal RNA (3282 nucleotides) under Durio zibethinus. RNAcentral's name for it is "eukaryotic LSU rRNA". It matches the Rfam family "Eukaryotic large subunit ribosomal RNA". Lineage: Eukaryota; Viridiplantae; Streptophyta; Magnoliopsida; Malvales; Malvaceae. The record is from RNAcentral.